UAAUACGUAGGGGGCUAGCGUUGUCCGGAAUCAUUGGGCGUAAAGAGCGCGUAGGCGGCCAGAUAAGUCCGGUGUGAAAGUCACAGGCUCAACCUGUGAAUGCCGCUGGAAACUGUCUGGCUAGAGUCCGGAAGGGGCGAGUGGAAUUCCUGGUGUAGCGGUGAAAUGCGCAGAUAUCAGGAGGAACACCAAUGGCGAAGGCAGCUCGCUGGGACGGUACUGACGCUGAGGCGCGAAAGCGUGGGGAGCAAACAGGAUUAGAUACCCUGGUAGUCCACGCCGUAAACGAUGGGUACUAGGUGUAGGAGGUGUCGACUCCUCCUGUGCCGAAGCUAACGCAUUAAGUACCCCGCCUGGGGAGUACGGCCGCAAGGCUA
RNAcentral lists this ribosomal RNA (377 nucleotides) under uncultured bacterium. RNAcentral's name for it is "bacterial SSU rRNA". It matches the Rfam family "Bacterial small subunit ribosomal RNA", at positions 521 to 896 of the family's 1533-position model. The record is from RNAcentral.